RNAcentral lists this ribosomal RNA (423 nucleotides) under uncultured bacterium. Its description in RNAcentral is "bacterial SSU rRNA". It matches the Rfam family "Bacterial small subunit ribosomal RNA", at positions 355 to 769 of the family's 1533-position model. The record is from RNAcentral.
UGGGGAAUCUUCCGCAAUGGACGAAAGUCUGACGGAGCAACGCCGCGUGAGUGAAGAAGGUUUUCGGAUCGUAAAGCUCUGUUUUCAGGGACGAACGGCAGAUAUAUAAAUAAUAUAUUUGCAUGACGGUACCUGAGGAGGAAGCCACGGCUAACUACGUGCCAGCAGCCGCGGUAAUACGGAGGUGGCAAGCGUUGUCCGGAAUUAUUGGGCGUAAAGGGCGUGUAGGCGGGAUAAUAAGUCUGGUGUAAAAGUGCGGGGCUCAACCCCGUAAGGUCAAUGGAAACUGUUAUUCUUGCGUGCAGGAGAGGAAAGUGGAAUUCCCAGUGUAGCGGUGAAAUGCGUAGAUAUUGGGAGGAACACCAGUGGCUAAGGCGACUUUCUGGACUGUGUCUGACGCUGAGGCGCGAAAGCCAGGGGAGC